RNAcentral lists this ribosomal RNA (305 nucleotides) under uncultured bacterium. RNAcentral's name for it is "bacterial SSU rRNA". It matches the Rfam family "Bacterial small subunit ribosomal RNA", at positions 335 to 655 of the family's 1533-position model. The record is from RNAcentral.
GGGCCUACGGGGGGCAGCAGUGGGGGAUAUUGCACAAUGGGGGAAACCCUGAUGCAGCGACGCCGCGUGGACGAAGAAGUAUUUCGGUAUGUAAAGUCCUAUCAGCAGGGAAGAAGAAAUGACGGUACCUGACUAAGAAGCCCCGGCUAACUACGUGCCAGCAGCCGCGGUAAUACGUAGGGGGCAAGCGUUAUCCGGAUUUACUGGGUGUAAAGGGAGCGUAGACGGCAGCGCAAGUCUGGAGUGAAAUGCCGGGGCCCAACCCCGGAACUGCUCUGGAAACUGUGAAGCUGGAGUGCAGGAGG